RNAcentral lists this long non-coding RNA (608 nucleotides) under Gopherus evgoodei (Goodes thornscrub tortoise). RNAcentral's name for it is "lncRNA (ENSGEVG00005019274.1)". Lineage: Eukaryota; Metazoa; Chordata; Testudines; Testudinidae. The record is from RNAcentral.
AUGCACAGAACUGUACAGAGAGUAUAAAGCGCUCAAGCAAGCGAGAGAGCAUCAAGGCUUCCCCGAAUCCAGCUCAGUUUGCCAGCAGGCUGCUAAAGAAACCCCAGCAGUGGAACAGGUGCCUGACUCAGGUUGCUGGGGUGCACAUCUGAAUCGAGGGCAGACCGUCCCCAAACUGAGCCACCAGGACCGUGACAACCUAAAGGCGUCUGCGCAGUAUUUUGGAAUGAAGCUGAAAGCCAACCUGGGAGCGGCCAUAAAGGAGCGUCCUAUAACUUUGAGGAAGUCCUUGACUCCCCGAGGGAAGCCAGCUGUGCCCCUGUUGGAGAAAAGCUCUGACAACAGCAACCAGGGUGCGUCUCCAAAGCCCCCGCAGAUGCCAUCGCUGAAAAGCAGCAAAGACUGCGUUACUAACGCUGAUCCUAAUGAGUCUGGAGACCUCCUCCUCCCGCCAUCGAUAUCGAGGCUGGUCCCCACCAUCCUCUCUGCAAGGCUGAAGCCAAGCCCUGAGGUGAAUAAAUUCCAGCAGUUGAAGCAGACCGUGGCCCAGAGACUGGGCUCCCUGGAUCCUGGCUGGCUGGACAGGUGUCAGGGCAUCAGGGAGAAAG